This 851-nucleotide long non-coding RNA is filed under the name Salvia miltiorrhiza (redroot sage). RNAcentral describes it as "long non-coding RNA (SMIL_LNC005345)". The record is from RNAcentral. Lineage: Eukaryota; Viridiplantae; Streptophyta; Magnoliopsida; Lamiales; Lamiaceae.
CGCCCGCGUCGAGGCGGCCGACGGCGCCUCUCCCGCUUUCAACCAAGUUUUUCAUUAUCACCAAACCAAAGCUCACGAAUUCGAUGAAGAGAAACGUAGGGUUCCGACAGGAUCCAAUCCUCUUCACAAUAAAUGACGUCGCGACGUCGUUUUUAGCCGUUAUUUACGAAUGCUUUCUAGCUAGAUAGCUCGAUAUAAAAGGUGAUGUUUCUUUUUUUUUUUCUCUCAUGCUUGGGGAAAAAAAUUAAUUAUUAUAUUUAGGUUGUAUUUUGUAUAUUUUUUAUUUUUAUAUAUAAAUUGUAAUUCCGUCCGUCUAAAUUUAUUUCUACGUGCAAAAGUAUAGUUUCGCCCGUCUAUUUUUAAAAUCCUAGCUCCGUCCCUGCUCAUGCUCGAAUAAUACUAUACAUUAAAUGUAGGAAUUUGAAUUCACGAUGUUUUUUAAAGUUUUAAUCACGAAGCUUAUCGUUCUACUAAUUAGGUCACCAAAAGAAGAUUUUAUUCGUGAGAAGUGAAGUUUUGAAGGCAAGUUUGAGAUUUCGACAGCGUGGCGUAGUUUUGUUAGUGUAUAUAUAUAUUAAUUGGAUUAUAUUUUUUUUGCUUCAAGCAGCAAUGAAGAUGGAUAGUGUGUGUCUGUGUGUGUAUAUAUGUUAUAUAUAUAGACAUUUACUUACAUAUAAUUUGAUGUUAGAAUGAGUAUUUUAGUUAGAGCUUCAGAGAUUGAUUUGGUUUGUAAUAUUUAAAUUGAGCGCGCUUACAAUAUUUUUCGCAUUCAUUUAAGCCCAGUUUGGAUUUUUCUUUGUUUAAAAUAAUAGUUGUUCUGACUUGAUAAAUAUAAAAAAAAAUAUUGGAAG